RNAcentral lists this long non-coding RNA (623 nucleotides) under Heterocephalus glaber (naked mole-rat). RNAcentral's name for it is "lncRNA (ENSHGLG00000035927.1)". The record is from RNAcentral. Lineage: Eukaryota; Metazoa; Chordata; Mammalia; Rodentia; Bathyergidae.
GUGCACCUGUGCAGCUGAGAGACAUUUAAGAUCUAAGUUAUAACAGUGUUUCCCUGGACCCCUAAAGGCUUGUGUCUACCUCAUUUUGCAAAAUGCAUUAAUAAACCUCCAGGAAUCACCAAUGUCUUAAUAGUUCCAGCAUUGCUGAUAAGUGCAAGUUCAAUGUUUCUUCUGAAACUCAAGAACAGAUGAUGGAAUAAAGACAACAGAUUUGGUGCUAAAUGGUUAUGGCGGCAACAUGGUCACUCAUCUGAAUCACUGGUUUGAGAAUCCAGUAGCUGAGUCCAUGUUUUUAUUUCAAACUUUGUAAACAUUAAAAUAUGUAUUACAACUGAAUGAACAUGUAUAAAAUGGUAACAUUAUGUUGCUCACAGUAUCACAUAAGACACUCAAUGAAGUGACUGAGAAGGCUCAUAUCUUUAUUACUAACUCACAGCUGUGAUUCUUACCCAGCACUAAAAACAAAUGAAGUUGAUGAAACAUAUUGUCUAUUCAAUGCUUUUUCAGUGAUUACAAAAAGAAGAAAAAAGAUUCAUGCUAAAAUAGAAAACUGUUUUAGUAGAUAUUCUACUGUUUAAUACUAGGUACAUGAAAGACAGAAUUUUAAUUAAACUCUCCCUAUC